This 253-nucleotide ribosomal RNA is filed under the name uncultured bacterium. RNAcentral describes it as "partial 16S ribosomal RNA". It matches the Rfam family "Bacterial small subunit ribosomal RNA", at positions 524 to 776 of the family's 1533-position model. The record is from RNAcentral.
UACGAAGGGGGCUAGCGUUGCUCGGAAUGACUGGGCGUAAAGGGCGCGUAGGCGGAUGACCCAGUCAGAUGUGAAAUUCCCGGGCUUAACCUGGGGGCUGCAUUUGAUACGUGUUGUCUAGAGUGAGGAAGAGGGUUGUGGAAUUCCCAGUGUAGAGGUGAAAUUCGUAGAUAUUGGGAAGAACACCGGUGGCGAAGGCGGCAACCUGGUCCUUGACUGACGCUGAGGCGCGAAAGCGUGGGGAGCAAACAGG